This 508-nucleotide ribosomal RNA is filed under the name uncultured bacterium. RNAcentral describes it as "partial 16S ribosomal RNA". It matches the Rfam family "Bacterial small subunit ribosomal RNA", at positions 28 to 523 of the family's 1533-position model. The record is from RNAcentral.
GAUGAACGCUAGCUACAGGCUUAACACAUGCAAGUCGAGGGGAAACGAUAGAGAAAGCUUGCUUUUUCUAGGCGUCGACCGGCGCACGGGUGAGUAACGCGUAUCCAACCUGCCCAUCACUUGGGGAUAACCUUGCGAAAGUAAGACUAAUACCCAAUGACGUCCAUAGAAGACAUCUGAAAUGGAUUAAAGAUUUAUCGGUGAUGGAUGGGGAUGCGUCUGAUUAGCUUGUUGGCGGGGUAACGGCCCACCAAGGGGACGAUCAGUAGGGGUUCUGAGAGGAAGGUCCCCCACAUUGGAACUGAGACACGGUCCAAACUCCUAAGGGAGGCAGCAGUGAGGAAUAUUGGUCAAUGGACGAGAGUCUGAACCAGCCAAGUAGCGUGCAGGAUGACGGCCCUAUGGGUUGUAAACUGCUUUUAUAAGGGAAUAAAGUGGGAGUCGUGACUCCUUUUGCAUGUACCUUAUGAAUAAGGACCGGCUAAUUCCGUGCCAGCCGCCGCCGUAA